UACGAAGGGGGCUAGCGUUGUUCGGAAUCACUGGGCGUAAAGCGCACGUAGGCGGUUUUCCAAGUCAGAGGUGAAAGCCCGGGGCUCAACUCCGGAAUUGCCUUUGAACCUGGGAGACUUGAACACGGGAGAGGUGAGUGGAAUUCCGAGUGUAGAGGUGAAAUUCGUAGAUAUUCGGAGGAACACCAGUGGCGAAGGCGGCUCACUGGCCCGUUGUUGACGCUGAGGUGCGAAAGCGUGGGGAGCAAACAGG
Molecule: ribosomal RNA, 253 nt
Filed under: uncultured bacterium
Lineage: Bacteria
Description: partial 16S ribosomal RNA
Rfam family: Bacterial small subunit ribosomal RNA
Source: RNAcentral